CCUACGGGAGGCAGCAGUGGGGAAUAUUGCGCAAUGGGCGAAAGCCUGACGCAGCGACGCCGCGUGAGGGAUGAAGGUCUUCGGAUCGUAAACCUCUGUCAGCAGGGAAGAACGGUCACUGUGCUAUUCAGCAGUGAAUUGACGGUACCUGCAAAGGAAGCACCGGCUAACUCCGUGCCAGCAGCCGCGGUAAUACGGAGGGUGCGAGCGUUAAUCGGAAUUACUGGGCGUAAAGCGCUCGUAGGCGGUAUGUCAAGUCAAGUGUGAAAUCCCCGCGCUCAACGUGGGAACUGCCUUUGAAACUGGCAAACUUGAGUGUGUGAGAGGAGAGUGGAAUUCCAGGUGUAGGGGUGAAAUCCGUAGAUAUCUGGAGGAACAUCAGUGGCGAAGGCGACUAUCUGGCACAUAACUGACGCUGAGGAGCGAAAGCGUGGGGAGCAAACAGGAUUAGAUACCCGAGUAGUC
This 465-nucleotide ribosomal RNA is filed under the name uncultured bacterium. RNAcentral describes it as "partial 16S ribosomal RNA". It matches the Rfam family "Bacterial small subunit ribosomal RNA", at positions 338 to 795 of the family's 1533-position model. The record is from RNAcentral.